Molecule: long non-coding RNA, 584 nt
Organism: Mobula hypostoma (lesser devil ray)
Lineage: Eukaryota; Metazoa; Chordata; Chondrichthyes; Myliobatiformes; Myliobatidae
Exons: 4
Source: RefSeq, a predicted model, not a curated record
AUCAUGGAGUGCUUGGAGCGGCUCUUUCUCUCCCCUCGAGGAGUACUGGACAUAUGGCGAGGAAAGGUUGAAGGUACCCAGAUGGAAUAUACGGUGCUGGUCUUGCACUCUGAGAUUGGCCUCAUCGUGGCAAGAGAGGAGGCCAUGAAUUGACAUGUCGGAACAGGAGUGAGAAUGGAAAUUACAAUGCUUAACCAUCGUUUCCCAUUUUCUGUGGCCUCCGCCGGUCGUGGUGGACCAUGGGUCCUGUGCCUGUGUUAGUCACUGGUUUGUCGAGCAGCGUCGACUGUGGCUAUUGAGGUCGAUCCUGGAACGCAGGCUCUACCACAAAUGCUGCAUGUGUCGGGUGUUGUGGAACUGGUGUCUGCUGUGCUCUCUGUUUAGCCCUCCGCUCCUCGAACUGACUCAGGAUCACUCUUUCGCCUUGCUCUCGGUGUUGCUGAAGAGUACCUCGCCAUUUGUUGCGGUCUACUGUCUAAGUAAUAAUCAGGCUACUGAAGCUCCUCCCUGACGGUAGGAAUGAGAAGAGGGCAGUUCCUGGAUGGUCUUCCUGAGGCACGAUGUGUUAGGAAACAUAGAAAACA